This 188-nucleotide unclassified non-coding RNA is filed under the name soil metagenome. RNAcentral's name for it is "partial internal transcribed spacer 1". The record is from RNAcentral.
CAGAGUUGCAAUACUCCCACAAACCAUCGCGAAUCUUACCCGUACGGUUGCCUCGGCGCUGGCGGUCCGGAAGGCCCUCGGGCCCCCCGGAUCCUCGGGUCUCCCGCUCGCGGGAGGCUGCCCGCCGGAGUGCCGAAACCAAACUCUUGAUAUUUUAUGUCUCUCUGAGUAAACUUUUAAAUAAGUCA